This is a long non-coding RNA of Neltuma alba, 1856 nucleotides long. RefSeq lists it as uncharacterized. The record is from RefSeq and is a predicted model, not a curated record. The transcript is spliced from 2 exons. NCBI's taxonomy places the organism in Eukaryota, Viridiplantae, Streptophyta, Magnoliopsida, Fabales, Fabaceae.
UUUCUUCUGUCUUUGUUCCGGGGUUCCUCGUCUCUUCGCGUCAGAUCUUGAUCUGAGAUUUGGUUGUUGCCGACUCCGGGCUCCAGAUCCGUAUGGAUCCGAUCGAGGUCCACCCGCCGAUGGUGGUUUGUGACGCGUUUGAGAUGCAUACAAAACUUCUUGCCUCGAAUCUUCCGUUUCGAGGUGUGGUCUCCUCGUUCUUGUUUUCGGCAUCUAUUCUGUAGAAAUUAGCUGGAUCUUGCCUUUGUCAAGGCUCUCGAGGUGUUAAUUCUGCAGGUAUGGUGGAAGAUCGAACAAAAUAACGUGGAUCGCUGGAAGUCUAGUUUUCUUCGCCAUCCGGAUCACGAGGAUUGCUUCAGUGAUGGAUGAUUGGAUGCGCUAUAGCUGAUUGCCCUUGAGGGUUUCAGUGCUGUCUUCCUGUAGAUUCUACUGUUGCAGAUCUCGGAUAUUUGUAAAUCUAGUUAUUGCUCUGAGGGUAUGCAUGGAUGUAUAAGAUUUCGGGAUGAAGGGCCCCGAGACGGUGGGCUCUGAGUCCCGAGUAAUCUUUGUCAUCCGACCUUUGCCAUGACAGGUGCGCUUGCAUGGCAGGUCAAGAAUAUCUUAAUAAAAAAAGUAUUUUUUGGUUUCGGGGGAGAUCGCACGGGAGUUGCCCGGGGUCUCCCUCCGGUGUGGUGUGUGCCUCCGUUUUCAUUCUGCGUUUAUUAUCGCUCAUGAUUGCUCGCCCGCUAAAUCCAUCUGGUCGCGAAGGACACACGACAGCAGAUUUGCCUUGACUCUUCAAAUCAAAUAAGGUAUCAUCUAUCGUUAUAAUCUCUUACAUAUCAUUCAAAGGGUAAUUUUUUCUUGUGAACAAUCUAUUUAUUGAGCUAAUAUCAUCCCAAAAAAGAAAAAGCAUAAACAAAAGUGGCUCCCUCCAGCAAGAGUCGGUCCCGAGUCGGUCCCCUUUGAAUUUUUAAUACUGUCGUUAAUUUACUCCGACCAUGGUGAUGGUGAUAUUAAUUUGGAUUAUUGGAAAUAUUCUUAUUGGCAGAAUGCUUUCUGGAGUUCGUCGAUAAUAUGAUCGAAAGGUAAUUGGGCUUCGGUUUUCUUACCUUAAAAAAAAUUAUUCAGAUCAAUUCUUCUAAAUUUUGAUGGUCAAAAUUUUACCGGGAAGUCUUUUUCUAAAUUCACAAAUUCAGUAAAUAAUUGAACACUGAAACAGUAUAGUUUUCAAAAUGAAUGAAUGGUAUUUUUCUGAAUCCUGCUUUGCAUUCUAAGCUGCUCCGUGUGCUUUGUGAUGGUAUCCCACGAAUGAUAAGUUACAAUAUCCAUAACUCUCGGCAGUACUGAUCCAAUUUUGUCAUGGCCUGCUGUACUGUUAUCGAUGAUUGCUUUUUUUUUUUUUUUCCUUUUUUCGUUUCUCUCUUUUAGUUUGGAGGUUUUAUUAUGGUGAGAGGUUUUUAAUAUUCUGGAGAUAUAAGAGGGGCUUAAGUGUUGUGGUUUGUGAGAGAAAUAUUCCCUUUGUUGUUAUCUAAUCAUUUCGGGGUGUUCCGUUAUUGUCGAGUUUUUGCUUUUGCUACUGUAAAUUGAAUGAUGUACUUGCCCGUUAUUGGGGCCAGGAGGAUCCCAGUGAAGAAGAGCAGGAAUGUUAACGAGACUUUCUGGAGCCUCUAGUUGUAUUGUUUUGUGUUGUAAAGUCCUGUUACCAAAUGUGAUUUAGGCUAUUAUGUUAUGUCAGUGGUCGAGGUUCGUUAAGCUGUGUUGAGUUGUCCUUUGUAUAUUGGUAAUUAUAAAUGUUCAGAUUCUGUUGCUGUCUUUUGGAAAUUUCAUGUGGAACGUUUGGGGGGCGACGCUCUAUGGACUCCUCCCCCCCCCCC